Molecule: non-coding RNA, 149 nt
Organism: Chelonoidis abingdonii (Abingdon island giant tortoise)
Lineage: Eukaryota; Metazoa; Chordata; Testudines; Testudinidae
Source: RefSeq, a predicted model, not a curated record
CUGUUAAAUUGCUCUGUUCUUUUCAGGUUAAACAGAGCAUCAUCCCCCUCUCUACACUCCUUCUCUUCCCUCCAUAAGGAAACAAAGCCGCCCGAAGCCGCAGAGCCAGCAUACAGCAGCAGGGUGAUCUGGAAAGAAAGAAGGAAAGA